GCAAAGGCGAAAAUUUGUGCAAACAGAAUUCCAAGGCUGCAUCAAGGCUCCAAUCACACUGCUAAACAACAUUCAAAAGCCCUCAAUCCUAACACUUUGAACAUGUCAGACAACCAACCAGCACGCAUCAGACAGGGAAGGGAGACCAAGCCUGCGUCGGCUAGAGAGGGAAUGGGUGGCGCUAAGGGAAGAAAGGGUUCUUCAAAGAAGGAG
This is a long non-coding RNA of Vicia villosa (hairy vetch), 213 nucleotides long. RefSeq lists it as uncharacterized. The record is from RefSeq and is a predicted model, not a curated record. The transcript has 3 exons. NCBI's taxonomy places the organism in Eukaryota, Viridiplantae, Streptophyta, Magnoliopsida, Fabales, Fabaceae.